GGACCUUUUAAAAGCUUGCUUUUAAAAGGUUAGCGGCGUGACGGGGUGAGUAACACGUGGGCAACCUGCCUGUAAGAUCGGGAUAACGCCGGGAAACCGGGGCUAAUACCGGAUAGUUUUUUCCUCCGCAUGGAGGAAAAAGGAAAGACGGCUUUUGCUGUCACUUACAGAUGGGCCCGCGGCGCAUUAGCUAGUUGGUGGGGUAAUGGCUCACCAAGGCAACGAUGCGUAGCCGACCUGAGAGGGUGAUCGGCCACAUUGGGACUGAGACACGGCCCAAACUCCUACGGGAGGCAGCAGUAGGGAAUCUUCCGCAAUGGACGAAAGUCUGACGGAGCAACGCCGCGUGAGUGAAGAAGGCCUUCGGGUCGUAAAACUCUGUUGCCGGGGAAGAACAAGUGCCGUUCGAACAGGGCGGCGCCUUGACGGUACCCGGCCAGAAAGCCACGGCUAACUACGUGCCAGCAGCCGCGGUAAUACGUAGGUGGCAAGCGUUGUCCGGAAUUAUUGGGCGUAAAGCGCGCGCAGGCGGUUUCUUAAGUCUGAUGUGAAAUCUUGCGGCUCAACCGCAAGCGGUCAUUGGAAACUGGGAGGCUUGAGUGCAGAAGAGGAGAGUGGAAUUCCACGUGUAGCGGUGAAAUGCGUAGAGAUGUGGAGGAACACCAGUGGCGAAGGCGGCUCUCUGGUCUGUAACUGACGCUGAGGCGCGAAAGCGUGGGGAGCAAACAGGAUUAGAUACCCUGGUAGUCCACGCCGUAAACGAUGAGUGCUAAGUGUUAGAGGGUUUCCGCCCUUUAGUGCUGCAGCUAACGCAUUAAGCACUCCGCCUGGGGAGUACGGCCGCAAGGCU
Molecule: ribosomal RNA, 850 nt
Filed under: uncultured Bacillus sp.
Lineage: Bacteria; Bacillati; Bacillota; Bacilli; Caryophanales; Bacillaceae
Description: bacterial SSU rRNA
Rfam family: Bacterial small subunit ribosomal RNA
Source: RNAcentral